GAUGAACGCUGGCGGCGUGCCUAAUACAUGCAAGUCGAGCGAACGGACGAGAAGCUUGCUUCUCUGAUGUUAGCGGCGGACGGGUGAGUAACACGUGGAUAACCUACCUAUAAGACUGGGAUAACUUCGGGAAACCGGAGCUAAUACCGGAUAAUAUUUUGAACCGCAUGGUUCAAAAGUGAAAGACGGUCUUGCUGUCACUUAUAGAUGGAUCCGCGCUGCAUUAGCUAGUUGGUAAGGUAACGGCUUACCAAGGCAACGAUGCAUAGCCGACCUGAGAGGGUGUUCGGCCACACUGGAACUGAGACACGGUCCAGACUCCUACGGGAGGCAGCAGUAGGGAAUCUUCCGCAAUGGGCGAAAGCCUGACGGAGCAACGCCGCGUGAGUGAUGAAGGUCUUCGGAUCGUAAAACUCUGUUAUUAGGGAAGAACAUAUGUGUAAGUAACUGUGCACACCUUGACGGUACCUAAUCAGAAAGCCACGGCUAACUACGUG
RNAcentral lists this ribosomal RNA (497 nucleotides) under uncultured bacterium. RNAcentral describes it as "partial 16S ribosomal RNA". It matches the Rfam family "Bacterial small subunit ribosomal RNA", at positions 28 to 507 of the family's 1533-position model. The record is from RNAcentral.